Molecule: ribosomal RNA, 491 nt
Filed under: uncultured bacterium
Lineage: Bacteria
Description: partial 16S ribosomal RNA
Rfam family: Bacterial small subunit ribosomal RNA
Source: RNAcentral
UUGAACGCUGGCGGCAUGCUUUACACAUGCAAGUCGAACGGUAACAGGCCUUCGGGUGCUGGCGAGUGGCGAACGGGUGAGUAAUGCAUCGGAACGUACCCAGAGGUGGGGGAUAACGCAGCGAAAGCUGUGCUAAUACCGCAUGUGAUCUGAGGAUGAAAGCGGGGGACCGAGCAGCAAUGUUUGGCCUCGCGCCUUUGGAGCGGCCGAUGUCGGAUUAGCUAGUUGGUGGGGUAAAGGCCUACCAAGGCGACGAUCCGUAGCUGGUCUGAGAGGACGACCAGCCACACUGGGACUGAGACACGGCCCAGACUCCUACGGGAGGCAGCAGUGGGGAAUUUUGGACAAUGGGCGCAAGCCUGAUCCAGCAAUGCCGCGUGCGGGAAGAAGGCCUUCGGGUUGUAAACCGCUUUUGGCAGGAACGAAACGGUGUCCGCUAAUACCGGGCGCUAAUGACGGUACCUGCAGAAUAAGCACCGGCUAACUACGUG